Molecule: unclassified non-coding RNA, 348 nt
Filed under: soil metagenome
Description: partial contains 5.8S ribosomal RNA, internal transcribed spacer 2, and large subunit ribosomal RNA
Rfam family: 5.8S ribosomal RNA (bases 1-120)
Source: RNAcentral
GAUGAAGAACGUAGCGAAAUGCGAUAAGUAAUGUGAAUUGCAGAAUUCAGUGAAUCAUCGAAUCUUUGAACGCACAUUGCGCCCGCCAGUAUUCUGGCGGGCAUGCCUGUCUGAGUGUCAUUUCAACCCUCAUGCCCCUAGGGCGUGGUGUUGGGGAUCGGCCAAAGCCCGCGAGGGACGGCCGGCCCCUAAAUCUAGUGGCGGACCCGUCGUGGCCUCCUCUGCGAAGUAGUGAUAUUCCGCAUCGGAGAGCGAUGAGCCCCUGCCGUUAAACCCCCAACUUUCCAAGGUUGACCUCAGAUCAGGUAGGAAUACCCGCUGAACUUAAGCAUAUCAAUAAGCGGAGGA